UUUUUUUUUUUUUUUUUUUUUUUUUUCU
This 28-nucleotide non-coding RNA is filed under the name Prorocentrum micans. Lineage: Eukaryota; Dinophyceae; Prorocentrales; Prorocentraceae. The record is from RNAcentral.